RNAcentral lists this ribosomal RNA (432 nucleotides) under uncultured bacterium. RNAcentral's name for it is "bacterial SSU rRNA". It matches the Rfam family "Bacterial small subunit ribosomal RNA", at positions 29 to 507 of the family's 1533-position model. The record is from RNAcentral.
AACGAACGCUGGCGGCAGGCCUAACACAUGCAAGUCGAACGCUCUCUUCGGAGAGAGUGGCAGACGGGUGAGUAACGCGUGGGAACCUACCCAGGGGUUUCGGAAUAACUCAGGAAACUUGAGCUAAUACCGGAUACGCCUUGCGAGGGAAAGAUUUAUCGCCCCUGGACGGGCCCGCGUCGGAUUAGCUUGUUGGUGGGUAACGGCCCACCAAGGCGACGAUCCGUAGCUGGUCUGAGAGGAUGAUCAGCCACACUGGGACUGAGACACGGCCCAGACUCCUACGGGAGGCAGCAGUGGGGAAUCUUGCACAAUGGGCGCAAGCCUGAUGCAGCCAUGCCGCGUGAGUGAAGAAGGCCCUAGGGUUGUAAAACUCUUUCAGCGGGGAAGAUAAUGACGGUACCCGCAGAAGAAGCCCCGGCUAACUCCGUG